GGGGGAAUAUUGCACAAUGGAGGAAACUCUGAUGCAGCGACGCCGCGUGAGUGAAGAAGGUCUUCGGAUCGUAAAACUCUGUCCUUGGUGAAGAAGAAAAUGACGGUAGCCAAGGAGGAAGCCCCGGCUAACUACGUGCCAGCAGCCGCGGUAAUACGUAGGGGGCGAGCGUUGUCCGGAUUUACUGGGCGUAAAGGGUGAGUAGGCGGUUAUAUAAGUCAGAUGUAAAAGGCACAGGCUUAACUUGUGUAAGCAUUUGAAACUGUAUAACUUGAGUGCAGGAGAGGUAAGUGGAAUUCCUAGUGUAGCGGUGAAAUGCGUAGAUAUUAGGAGGAACACCAGUGGCGAAGGCGACUUACUGGACUGUAACUGACGCUGAGUCACGAAAGCGUGGGUAGC
This 399-nucleotide ribosomal RNA is filed under the name uncultured bacterium. RNAcentral describes it as "bacterial SSU rRNA". It matches the Rfam family "Bacterial small subunit ribosomal RNA", at positions 355 to 769 of the family's 1533-position model. The record is from RNAcentral.